GACGAACGCUGGCGGCGUGCUUAACACAUGCAAGUCGAACGGAAAGGCCCUGCUUGCAGGGUACUCGAGUGGCGAACGGGUGGGUAACACGUGGGUGAUCUGCCCUGCACUUCGGGUUAAGCCUGGGCAACUGGGUCUAAUACCGGCCAGGAGACAUUUUUAGUGUGAUGGUUGGAAAGUUUUUUCGGUGUAGGAUGAGCUCGCGGGCUAUCAGCUUGUUGGUGGGGUAAUGGCCUACCAAGGCGGCGACGGGUAGCCGGCCUGAGAGGGUGGCCGGCCACAUUGGGACUGAGGGGCGGCCCAGACAGCGACGGGAGGCAGCAGUGGGGAAGACUGCACGAUGGGCGCAAGCCGGAUGCAGCGACGCCGCGGGGCGUAUGACGGCGUUCGGGUUGUAAACUCCAUUCGCUAGGGACGAAGCUUUUUGUGACGGUACCUAGAUAAGAAGCACCGGCUAACUACGUG
Molecule: ribosomal RNA, 465 nt
Filed under: uncultured bacterium
Lineage: Bacteria
Description: partial 16S ribosomal RNA
Rfam family: Bacterial small subunit ribosomal RNA
Source: RNAcentral